UUUGCUAGUUCCUGCAUUUUUUGCAAGUUCCCGCAAUUUCAUUGCACAAAAUUGCAUAAAUAUCCCGCAUAUUCUCGUAUUUUUUAAGAAAACGUGUCACAUGAUCAAGGAUUUUUGCCCACAACAAUCAGAAAAAAACU
Etheostoma cragini (Arkansas darter) is the source of this 140-nucleotide long non-coding RNA. RefSeq lists it as uncharacterized. NCBI's taxonomy places the organism in Eukaryota, Metazoa, Chordata, Actinopteri, Perciformes, Percidae. The transcript is spliced from 3 exons. The record is from RefSeq and is a predicted model, not a curated record.